AAAGCAAACAAGAAAAACAUGCUAGUGAGAGUGGGCAUUCUCAAUCAAAUAGCUGUUGGAUGAUAUACUUAAAAAUGGUUAAAGCACCCAAAGUGAAUGUUCAAAUAAUUAAUGAACAUCUCCAUCUUUCAAUUAUUUUUGGCACAUAAAGCAGAAGUACUGUCCAAAGUCUUCAAAUACAAUAUUUAUAUUUCGAAGGACAUGAAAUAAAAUAUGGUUCAGAGAAAACAAUCAACAACACAUUACAUGCCAAAUAACAUCUACUGAAAGGGAGUUAAGCUUAUCUCUUCCUAGUGUCCCUUUAAAUGCGUAACAACAGCAAAAGCAAAUCUAUCAGGAAGAUUCAUACGAAGCCACUUGAUCAUUGAAUGUCCGGAAAUCUUUGAAAAGUUUAUCCAAGGCACAGUAUGUCGUUUCUUCUGUUAGUAGAUUUAGAAUAGCAAGAAGUUCAAUGUUGAAAUGAUCGACAAGAAAGCUGCUUGUACCGUGAACUCUCUUAAUUCAUCCUGAAGCUAAAUUUGCUGCUUAUCUGACAUAGCAAGAGAAAAUAAAAUGAGAAAAAAUGAAUGAAAAAUUCCAAUGUGCAUCCCUCCAGCUCCCACUUGACCUCUUAUCCCUGAAAAAUUCUCGUGAGAAUCAUGAAUUGGUUCAUAAUAGUUUAUGUGAACAGUGUAUUGUGGCUACCAUCUAAGGAAGAUGCCAUUGAUUACCUUUAGGAACUGCUUUAGCAAGCAUGGACAAACUGAACUAAAACUUG
RNAcentral lists this long non-coding RNA (757 nucleotides) under Phoenix dactylifera (date palm). RNAcentral's name for it is "long non-coding RNA (PDAC_LNC018560)". Lineage: Eukaryota; Viridiplantae; Streptophyta; Magnoliopsida; Arecales; Arecaceae. The record is from RNAcentral.